UACGUAGGGUGCAAGCGUUGUCCGGAAUUAUUGGGCGUAAAGAGCUCGUAGGCGGCUUGUCACGUCGACUGUGAAAACCCGGGGCUCAACUCCGGGCCUGCAGUCGAUACGGGCUGGCUUGAGUGCGGUAGGGGAGACUGGAAUUCCCGGUGUAGCAGUGAAAUGCGUAGAUAUCGGGAGGAAUACCGAUGGCGAAGGCAGGUCUCUGGGCUGACACUGACGCUCAUGCACGAAAGCGUGGGGAGCAAACAGG
This 253-nucleotide ribosomal RNA is filed under the name uncultured bacterium. Its description in RNAcentral is "partial 16S ribosomal RNA". It matches the Rfam family "Bacterial small subunit ribosomal RNA", at positions 524 to 776 of the family's 1533-position model. The record is from RNAcentral.